RNAcentral lists this small nucleolar RNA (190 nucleotides) under Stegodyphus mimosarum. RNAcentral's name for it is "small nucleolar RNA SNORA73 family". Lineage: Eukaryota; Metazoa; Arthropoda; Arachnida; Araneae; Eresidae. The record is from RNAcentral.
ACUAUACUGUGAGUAGCACUUGUGGCCCUGGAGCUACUUGAUAUUGUGUAGCAUAUUCCAUCCCACUGUAUUGUAGAUUAAAGAUGUCUCCAGCUGUCAAGCUAAUGAAGGCUGGAGCAAUCUAUAUUCCAUAACCUUCCCAUAGUCAUUGUUGACUAUGAUUGAAAGAUAGACCAUGCAGAGUACAAAU